GUCUACGGCCAUGCCACCUUGAACAAGCCUGAUGUCUGAUCUCGGAAGCUAGGCAGCGUCAGGCCUGGUUAGUACUUGGAUGAAGACCACGAAGACCAGGUGCUGUAAGUG
RNAcentral lists this ribosomal RNA (111 nucleotides) under Pteropus alecto (black flying fox). Lineage: Eukaryota; Metazoa; Chordata; Mammalia; Chiroptera; Pteropodidae. The record is from RNAcentral.